AAUCUAAAAUUCCAAUACAUAAACCAAAAUUUCAAUUCAUAUCCUAAAGGUUCAAUUCAUAUCCUAACGGUUCAACUCAUAUCCACAAAAGUUCAAGUCAUAUCCUAAAAUUUAAAUUUAUAAACUAAAAUCCCAAUACAUAAACAGAAAUUUCAAGUCAUAUCCCAAAGGAUCAACUCAUAUUCACAAAAGUUCAAGUCAUAUCCUAAAAUUUCAAUUUAUAAACUAAAAUUCCAAUACACAAACCAAAAUUUCAAUUCAUAUCCUAAAGGUUCAACUCAUAUCCACAAAUGUUCAAGUCAUAUCUCAAAAUUUCAAUUUAUAAUCUAAAAUUCCAAUACAUAAACCAAAAUUUCAAUUCAUAUCCUAAAGGUUCAAUUCAUAUCCUAAAGGUUCAACUCAUAUCCACAAAAGUUCAUGUCAUAUCCUAAAAUUUCAAUUUAUAAACUAAAAUUCCAAUAUAUAAACCAAAAUUUCAAUUCGUAUCCUAAAGGUUCAACUCAUAUCCACAAAAGUUCAAGUCAUAUCCUAAAAUUUCAAUUUAUAAUCUAA
RNAcentral lists this long non-coding RNA (552 nucleotides) under Nicotiana tabacum (common tobacco). RNAcentral describes it as "long non-coding RNA (NTAB_LNC009207)". The record is from RNAcentral. Lineage: Eukaryota; Viridiplantae; Streptophyta; Magnoliopsida; Solanales; Solanaceae.